This 1522-nucleotide long non-coding RNA is filed under the name Rattus norvegicus (Norway rat). Its description in RNAcentral is "long non-coding RNA NONRATT000749". Lineage: Eukaryota; Metazoa; Chordata; Mammalia; Rodentia; Muridae. The record is from RNAcentral.
GCUUUUUCUUUUGAAGCAAAAUCAUUCUUUGAAGCAACAAAAACAAUGUGUCAAGUUGGGCUCAAAAUUAAUACAAAGUGGAUUAUGACUUUGACCUGUAUAUCCUCCUGCCUCUAUUCCCCAAGGGCUGAGAGUUUCAGCCUCUCACGAUCACUACAGCAAUGAAAACUACUAGUUUGGUUUUAAUUUAAGAUUGCCUUUCCACUCUUAUCUCGGCCAUUGAUUUCCUGCCUCAUCCCUGUGGAUCCCACAGGAUGUUAGCCACUUGACCUUCCCAUGGCACGUUGUGAGUAUCUGUGACUCCUCGGUAGGAAUGACUGGAUAAGGAGUUCCAAGUUGGAGCAACAUUGUUUUCCAGUUUUUUGUUUUGUCUUUGGUUUAACUUCCUGUUCUAGAAUGUGAUAACAUAGUCGGUUUUAUUCUCUCCCUCUUGGAAUGAUAAAAUGGGUUUUAAUCCAUAGGGUAAAAUGCCUUCCUAAAAUGUAUGCAUUCUUGUGUAUCUACAGGUUUACUCUAGGUUGUGUGUCAUAAUAUUUACUCCUAUAUUUGAAAGAGACACUGUAAGAGCAGGAGGUUUUUUCCUAACCACUUUUGAGGAACAUUACAGAAGUUCAUUUAGUAGUUUGAUAGCAUUGCUUUUAAUAUGAUUUGAGGUUUUUCUUUAAUUAAUGUGUUUUUUGUCUCUCCUAGCCUUUUCCUUGCUUUGAAAUUGGAAUCAAAAUUUUUAAACUAUUUUCCUCACCUGUCUUCUACCCUUCUUAACUACCAACUUUACACUAGAUAUCGUUUGAAGAAUUAACAUGAAGACACUGACCAUUCUCACCUGGAAAGAAUAUUAUCCAAUAUAUUUACAAUACAUGGUGUGAUUCUGUUCUAUACUUGCAAUGUUAAGUGAAGAAUUACAACUUGGAGUUUACACACUGUCCAUUGAUGGCUGUUGAGGACUUCCCCAUGUUUUCUAAUGAAAUAACCUAUUUAAUAUGUCCUUCCACAACAGAGAACAAAUUUCUCUAUUUUAUAAUAUUAUAACAACAACUCAAUUUAAAGUGUGAAUCAAAGACAAUGUAUUCAUUUGUAAAUUAGAAAACUUUUGAACUCUGUCUUUCCUUUUAUGUACAUAAACUAUGUCAAUAAACUAGUGCCUCAGACCUGUGAGCCCUAAUGAACACUGGCUGUGUCUAUCGAUUAGGUCAUGCCCAGAAGAAGAUGGUAUAAAAAUUUCUUCAAACACCUAAAUGUGGAAAAUACCAGUGGCUGACUUUGAUUUUGUACAGCUUGACUUUGAUUUUGAGCAGCUAAUUAGCAUAGUAUUGCUGUUUCACUCACAGUUUUGUUUCAUACAAACACACUGAAUUACCAGCUCAAUACAGUUGUGGUUUCGGGGGGGGUGUUUUGUUUUGCUAUGUUUUUGUUUGUUUGUUUUGUAUUUUUUGUUUGUUUUUGAGUUUGUGGAGCAGACGUUUGCUGUUUUAGGUGGACAAGAUGUAUAAAUGGACUGAAAUUAAAUUUGUGAAUUUGCUGU